This 47-nucleotide transfer RNA is filed under the name Apocalathium aciculiferum. Its description in RNAcentral is "partial Selenocysteine transfer RNA". Lineage: Eukaryota; Dinophyceae; Thoracosphaerales; Thoracosphaeraceae. The record is from RNAcentral.
UUUGGUGAUUGAGGCUCUUCCUUUAGUGUGGGCACCGUCGGGGAAUG